Molecule: non-coding RNA, 94 nt
Organism: Hypoxylon sp. FL1150
Lineage: Eukaryota; Fungi; Ascomycota; Sordariomycetes; Xylariales; Hypoxylaceae
Source: the annotation of a GenBank genome assembly
GCCCGACUAGCUCAUCGGUAGAGCGCCUCACUAGUAACUUGAUUGAAGAUGCAUUGCAAUGAGGAGGCAACAGGUUCGAUUCCUGUGUUGGGCA